RNAcentral lists this ribosomal RNA (248 nucleotides) under uncultured bacterium. RNAcentral describes it as "partial 16S ribosomal RNA". It matches the Rfam family "Bacterial small subunit ribosomal RNA", at positions 529 to 776 of the family's 1533-position model. The record is from RNAcentral.
AGGGUGCUAGCGUUGUUCGGAAUUACUGGGCGUAAAGCGCGUGUAGGCGGUUCGUAAAGUCGGAUGUGAAAGCCCUGGGCUUAACCCAGGAAGUGCAUUCGAAACUCACGAACUUGAGUCCCGGAGAGGAAGGCGGAAUUCUCGGUGUAGAGGUGAAAUUCGUAGAUAUCGAGAGGAACAUCUGUGGCGAAGGCGGACUUCUGGACGGUGACUGAAGCUGAGACGCGAAAGCGUGGGGAGCAAACAGG